This 280-nucleotide long non-coding RNA is filed under the name Nicotiana benthamiana. RNAcentral describes it as "long non-coding RNA (NBEN_LNC039943)". Lineage: Eukaryota; Viridiplantae; Streptophyta; Magnoliopsida; Solanales; Solanaceae. The record is from RNAcentral.
CAAGCCAUUGUAACUUAAGUCUUCCCUCCGAUAACUUAGAGGAAACGUGGCUUAGAUCCGUAUUUUAAAAGAUAGAAUUGAGACUUGUCCUGAUUGUGAUACUUGUAAAACAUCUCUGGGUUUAUAUGUGGGGUUUAGUUGUGUAAGACUCAUUCCUCGACCGUCGGGGCUUACGUUUCGGACACGGUUACUGUAUAGCGUACUGGACUCACAUAGAACUUUAUGCAAUUGUGUGUAAUUAACUUUGUAAAUUUUUAAAUUUUCUUAAUAGAUUGUUAAU